This 460-nucleotide ribosomal RNA is filed under the name uncultured bacterium. Its description in RNAcentral is "partial 16S ribosomal RNA". It matches the Rfam family "Bacterial small subunit ribosomal RNA", at positions 338 to 795 of the family's 1533-position model. The record is from RNAcentral.
CCUACGGUCGGCAGCAGUGAGGAAUAUUGGUCAAUGGUCGGGAGACUGAACCAGCCAAGCCGCGUGAGGGAUGAAGGUACAGAGUAUCGUAAACCUCUUUUGUCAGGGAACAAAGGCGGGGCCGCGUCCCCGGAUGAGUGUACCUGAAGAAAAAGCAUCGGCUAACUCCGUGCCAGCAGCCGCGGUAAUACGGAAGGUCCGGGCGUUAUCCGGAUUUAUUGGGUUUAAAGGGAGCGUAGGCCGGUCUUUAAGCGUGCCGUGAAAUUUUGUGGCUCAACCAUGAGAGUGCGGCGCGAACUGGAGACCUUGAGUGCGCGGAAGGCAGGCGGAAUUCGUGGUGUAGCGGUGAAAUGCUUAGAUAUCACGAAGAACCCCGAUUGCGAAGGCAGCCUGCCGCAGCGUUACUGACGCUGAAGCUCGAAAGCGCGGGUAUCGAACAGGAUUAGAUACCCCGGUAGUC